Molecule: long non-coding RNA, 237 nt
Filed under: Coffea arabica (coffee)
Lineage: Eukaryota; Viridiplantae; Streptophyta; Magnoliopsida; Gentianales; Rubiaceae
Description: long non-coding RNA (CARA_LNC003843)
Source: RNAcentral
GUAUAUGACCUCACGGAAGUUCGUGGAAGAUGUCUGGCAGUAGGCUUCACUGUUGUAUCUUCAGUUGUGUUAAGCGGCUUUACAACAACCUUCUCCUGAACAAGAGGCAGUGGUGGCGGAGGUGGAGGUGGAGGUGGAGGUGGAGGUGGAGGUGGAGGUGGAGGUGGAGGUGGAGGUGGUGGAGGUGGUGGGGGCGGUGGUGACAUCAAGUCAAUAUCAAAUCUACUCAUGUCUAUC